UGGAAAGGUGUGCUGUUGUCGGUGGGA
RNAcentral lists this non-coding RNA (27 nucleotides) under Mus musculus (house mouse). The record is from RNAcentral. Lineage: Eukaryota; Metazoa; Chordata; Mammalia; Rodentia; Muridae.